RNAcentral lists this ribosomal RNA (496 nucleotides) under uncultured bacterium. RNAcentral's name for it is "bacterial SSU rRNA". It matches the Rfam family "Bacterial small subunit ribosomal RNA", at positions 28 to 507 of the family's 1533-position model. The record is from RNAcentral.
GAUGAACGCUGGCGGCGUGCCCCUCUAAGCAAGUCGAACGCGCAGCGAGAGGUGCUUGCACCUUUCAAGCGAGUGGCGAACGGGUGAGUAACACGUGUCUAACCUGCCUCAAGGCUGGGGAUAACAUUUGGAAACAAAUGCUAAUACCGAAUAAAACUUAUUAUCGCAUGAUAUCAAGUUAAAAGGCGCUACGGCGUCACCUAAAGAUGGAUCCGCGGUGCAUUAUUUAGUUGGGGGGGUAAAGGCUUACCAAAACAAUGAUGCAUAGCCAAGUUGAGAGACUGAUCGGCCACAUUGGGACUGAAACACGGCCCAAACUCCUACGGGAGGCUGCAGUAGGGAAUCUUCCACAAUGGGCGCAAGCCUGAUGGAGCAACGCCGCGUGUGUGAUGAAGGCUUUCGGGUCGUAAAGCACUGUUGUAUGGAAAGAAAUGCUAAAAUAGGGAAUGAUUUUAGUUUGACGGUACCAUACCAAAAAGGGACGGCUAAAUACGUG